Molecule: long non-coding RNA, 307 nt
Filed under: Mus spicilegus (steppe mouse)
Lineage: Eukaryota; Metazoa; Chordata; Mammalia; Rodentia; Muridae
Description: lncRNA (ENSMSIG00000026315.1)
Source: RNAcentral
CUAAUAGUGCCACUCCCUGGGCCAAGCAUUUCAAAUGACCACACCUUCCAGGACAUCCCUCAGCCCCAGCACACAGAGAUGGUUUGCCUUUACACGUGGAGACCCCGGAAGAAAAGCCAAUGGUGAUAGGGGCAGAGUGGAUGAGCUUCACAAGAGUGUCCUCACACCCGAGGUGCUGCGAAGUCCUCUGGGUGUCAGCGCACAGCAGGGAGGUGGCAAACAGGGAGGAAGUGACAGAUUGUGCCCUUUGUUCUCAGAGCAUCCUUGGAGUAUCCACAGAAAGGAGCUGGAGGACACCACAAGCUGA